AAAAUGGAGAGUUUGAUCCUGGCUCAGGAUGAACGCUGGCGGUCUGCUUAACACAUGCAAGUCGAACGGGUUCUUUAGGGAACUAGUGGCGGACGGGUGAGUAACGCGUGAG
Molecule: ribosomal RNA, 112 nt
Filed under: Microcoleus sp. FACHB-SPT15
Lineage: Bacteria; Bacillati; Cyanobacteriota; Cyanophyceae; Oscillatoriales; Microcoleaceae
Description: partial 16S ribosomal RNA
Rfam family: Bacterial small subunit ribosomal RNA
Source: RNAcentral